Molecule: long non-coding RNA, 556 nt
Organism: Bactrocera oleae (olive fruit fly)
Lineage: Eukaryota; Metazoa; Arthropoda; Insecta; Diptera; Tephritidae
Source: RefSeq, a predicted model, not a curated record
UGUGUGCAUAUGAAUGUGCACACUUGCUUCUAGCAGCUCAAAGCUACAGCGUCGAAGUUGAAUAAAAAAUCUCCUCACCCCAAUGACCUUCUGCAGAUACCAGCGUCGGAUGCAUAUAACAUUGUCUGCUCGCGUAUUAAUAGAUAGCUAUUCCUUAGUGCCUCCGUCGAAAAUGCGAAUGCCGAAUGCUGAAAUACCUGAAUUGCACCUGAAUUGGCGAAUUGGUUACACAAAUUUCCUAAAGGCUUUAAAUCCAACAUGCAUUGGAGUAGUAUACAAAUUUUAUAAGUUUACAUAAUUAUUUUAUCAAACGAAUUUACUAAUUUCAUUUAAAUAUAUUCGAUUAUAAUAUAGAUUAAUAAUAAUAAUUUAAACUAGACUAGACCAAAGAAACUUUUAGUAAGUUGAAACCCAUUGAAAAAAAGAUAAAAUAACAAAAAUGAAUGCAAAAAUAAUUUACGGACGAACGUAUAAGAGUUACAACGUUUGAGCGUUAAGAAAAAAGUUAUAUGGCAAAGUUGUAAGUAAUAAAACGAUGGGCAACAUUUGUUUUCAC